RNAcentral lists this long non-coding RNA (658 nucleotides) under Medicago truncatula (barrel medic). Its description in RNAcentral is "lncRNA gene26224". Lineage: Eukaryota; Viridiplantae; Streptophyta; Magnoliopsida; Fabales; Fabaceae. The record is from RNAcentral.
AACAACUCAAAUCCUAAAAACGUUAAAUUUUUUAAAUCAUAAAAUCCUUCUACCCAAUCUGAACUCUGCAUGUUAUGAUUGACAGUUUCAAAGGCUAAAUCAAUCCUUGAUCCGUAUUCACCAUCAUAAACGAUGUCGGCGGUGUUAUUGUCGUAGAUUGCUCUCUGUUGAUAUCGAGUGAACGAACCAUGUUUCCACUACAGAACUGUUGAGCACUGAGAAGAAGGUGAUCUCACCAUGUAAUCGUUGGAGUUUACAAUGUGUUGACGCAUGAUGAUUAGCAAGUUCAAUCGCCUUUCACGAAGAUCAUUUGGAACAAAGUAUCACUUUUCGUAUGAAGACUGCUCAAAAAUAGGCUCCCAACAAAAGAUAACUUAGUUAGACGUUGAUUUCUUCAUCCAUGAUCUCUGUUAUGUUUGGGUUGUUGUGGUAUGGAGGAAUCAAAGAAUCAUUUAUUUUGUACUAUAUAUAACUUUUCAGAGAUGUUUGAUCAUUCAUUUCAAAGUGGUUAGGGAUUUCUAGUGCGCCUCCAUCUGAAAUUGUCAUGCAUGCUACACAGUUUGGUGACAACUAUUUUUUCGAAAGGACAUUUGCAUCUGUCUUCAAAUUAUUUGGUUGGAACUUGGAUUAUUUGAAAGGAACACAACAUUAAGAUCUU